Molecule: ribosomal RNA, 459 nt
Filed under: uncultured Streptococcus sp.
Lineage: Bacteria; Bacillati; Bacillota; Bacilli; Lactobacillales; Streptococcaceae
Description: partial 16S ribosomal RNA
Rfam family: Bacterial small subunit ribosomal RNA
Source: RNAcentral
ACGGAAGGCAGCAGUAGGGAAUCUUCGGCAAUGGGGGCAACCCUGACCGAGCAACGCCGCGUGAGUGAAGAAGGUUUUCGGAUCGUAAAGUUCUGUUGUAAGAGAAGAACGUGUGUGAGAGUGGAAAGUUCACACAGUGACGGUAACUUACCAGAAAGGGACGGCUAACUACGUGCCAGCAGCCGCGGUAAUACGUAGGUCCCGAGCGUUGUCCGGAUUUAUUGGGCGUAAAGCGAGCGCAGGCGGUUUAAUAAGUCUGAAAUUAAAGGCAGUGGCUUAACCAUUGUUCGCUUUGGAAACUGUUAGACUUGAGUGCAGAAGGGGAGAGUGGAAUUCCAUGUGUAGCGGUGAAAUGCGUAGAUAUAUGGAGGAACACCGGUGGCGAAAGCGGCUCUCUGGUCUGUAACUGACGCUGAGGCUCGAAAGCGUGGGGAGCAAACAGGAUUAGAUACCCUGGUA